This 497-nucleotide ribosomal RNA is filed under the name uncultured bacterium. Its description in RNAcentral is "partial 16S ribosomal RNA". It matches the Rfam family "Bacterial small subunit ribosomal RNA", at positions 28 to 507 of the family's 1533-position model. The record is from RNAcentral.
GAUGAACGCUGGCGGCGUGCCUAAUACAUGCAAGUCGAGCGAACAGACGAGGAGCUUGCUCCUCUGACGUUAGCGGCGGACGGGUGAGUAACACGUGGAUAACCUACCUAUAAGACUGGGAUAACUUCGGGAAACCGGAGCUACUACCGGAUAAUAUAUUGAACCGCAUGGUUCAAUAGUGAAUGACGGUUUUGCUGUCACUUAUAGAUGGAUCCGCGCCGCAUUAGCUAGUUGGUAAGGUAACGGCUUACCAAGGCAACGAUGCGUAGCCGACCUGAGAGGGUGAUCGGCCACACUGGAACUGAGACACGGUCCAGACUCCUACGGGAGGCAGCAGUAGGGAAUCUUCCACAAUGGGCGAAAGCCUGACGGAGCAACGCCGCGUGAGUGAUGAAGGUCUUCGGAUCGUAAAACUCUGUUAUUAGGGAAGAACAAAUGUGUAAGUAACUAUGCACGUCUUGACGGUACCUAAUCAGAAAGCCACGGCUGACUACGUG